Molecule: long non-coding RNA, 576 nt
Organism: Cucurbita moschata (crookneck pumpkin)
Lineage: Eukaryota; Viridiplantae; Streptophyta; Magnoliopsida; Cucurbitales; Cucurbitaceae
Exons: 3
Source: RefSeq, a predicted model, not a curated record
ACAACAAAAAUCUGAAGAACAAGAUGAAGAAGGAAGUUGAGUAAAAACCAGAACAAUGUGAGAAACAGAUAAAUUGCCAUGAUUUCGAGAUCGAAGAACUAACGAGAAGAAGAAGUCCCGGAAUGUAAUCAACUUGGACAGGUAAAGAGAUUGCAGCCAUACAUAAACAUGUGCAGGCUUAGCAACGCAAACAUACUGAAAACAGGAUACACAACAUCCAUGUAAGAAACUUCAUUUGGACCAGAGAAGACGCCAGACAAAUGAGCCAACGUUGCGUAUACAAUGAACAACGACACGAAGCAACCCGUAAACAAUCCUGAAACCAACCAACAAUUCGAGAGCUCGAAAGGCAUACCUUAUCGGAGCUGAUAAAGGCCGACUUUUUCACUCCUUGAAGAUAGCUGGCUGACGCCUUUUGGUUCGCCACCUGUUCCACCAAAAACACGUAAAUUAUCCUUUAAUUCAGUGAUGUCCUCCAUUGAUUGGGGAAGAGAACCACACACCCUUUAUAAGAGAGCGUGGAAAUCUUCCACUAUAUUUGCUAGCGGUGGGCUUGACUAAGUUACGGGCAUAAUU